GCUUGCUCCACCGGAAAAAGAAGAGUGGCGAACGGGUGAGUAACACGUGGGUAACCUGCCCAUCAGAAGGGGAUAACACUUGGAAACAGGUGCUAAUACCGUAUAACAAUCAAAACCGCAUGGUUUUGAUUUGAAAGGCGCUUUCGGGUGUCGCUGAUGGAUGGACCCGCGGUGCAUUAGCUAGUUGGUGAGGUAACGGCUCACCAAGGCCACGAUGCAUAGCCGACCUGAGAGGGUGAUCGGCCACAUUGGGACUGAGACACGGCCCAAACUCCUACGGGAGGCAGCAGUAGGGAAUCUUCGGCAAUGGACGAAAGUCUGACCGAGCAACGCCGCGUGAGUGAAGAAGGUUUUCGGAUCGUAAAACUCUGUUGUUAGAGAAGAACAAGGAUGAGAGUAACUGUUCAUCCCUUGACGGUAUCUAACCAGAAAGCCACGGCUAACUACGUGCCAGCAGCCGCGGUAAUACGUAGGUGGCAAGCGUUGUCCGGAUUUAUUGGGCGUAAAGCGAGCGCAGGCGGUUUCUUAAGUCUGAUGUGAAAGCCCCCGGCUCAACCGGGGAGGGUCAUUGGAAACUGGGAGACUUGAGUGCAGAAGAGGAGAGUGGAAUUCCAUGUGUAGCGGUGAAAUGCGUAGAUAUAUGGAGGAACACCAGUGGCGAAGGCGGCUCUCUGGUC
This 677-nucleotide ribosomal RNA is filed under the name uncultured Bacilli bacterium. RNAcentral's name for it is "bacterial SSU rRNA". It matches the Rfam family "Bacterial small subunit ribosomal RNA", at positions 71 to 734 of the family's 1533-position model. The record is from RNAcentral. Lineage: Bacteria; Bacillati; Bacillota; Bacilli.